GAUGAACGCUGGCGGCGUGCCUAAUACAUGCAAGUAGAACGCUGAAGCUUGGUGCUUGCACCGAGCGGAAGAGUUGCGAACGGGUGAGUAACGCGUAGGUAACCUGCCUCUUAGCGGGGGAUAACUAUUGGAAACGAUAGCUAAUACCGCAUAAAAGUCGGCAUUGCAUGAUGUUGACUUGAAAGGUGCAACUGCAUCACUAAGAGAUGGACCUGCGUUGUAUUAGCUAGUUGGUGAGGUAACGGCUCACCAAGGCGACGAUACAUAGCCGACCUGAGAGGGUGAUCGGCCACACUGGGACUGAGACACGGCCCAGACUCCUACGGGAGGCAGCAGUAGGGAAUCUUCGGCAAUGGACGGAAGUCUGACCGAGCAACGCCGCGUGAGUGAAGAAGGUUUUCGGAUCGUAAAGCUCUGUUGUAAGAGAAGAACGAGUGUGAGAGUGGAAAGUUCACACUGUGACGGUAACUUACCAGAAAGGGACGGCUAACUACGUGCCAGCAGCCGCGGUAAUACGUAGGUCCCGAGCGUUAUCCGGAUUUAUUGGGCGUAAAGCGAGCGCAGGCGGUUAGAUAAGUCUGAAGUUAAAGGCUGUGGCUUAACCAUAGUACGCUUUGGAAACUGUUUAACUUGAGUGCAGAAGGGGAAAGUGGAAUUCCAUGUGUAGCGGUGAAAUGCGUAGAUAUAUGGAGGAACACCGGUGGCGAAAGCGGCUCUCUGGUCUGUAACUGACGCUGAGGCUCGAAAGCGUGGGGAGCAAACAGG
RNAcentral lists this ribosomal RNA (765 nucleotides) under uncultured Streptococcus sp. Its description in RNAcentral is "bacterial SSU rRNA". It matches the Rfam family "Bacterial small subunit ribosomal RNA", at positions 28 to 776 of the family's 1533-position model. The record is from RNAcentral. Lineage: Bacteria; Bacillati; Bacillota; Bacilli; Lactobacillales; Streptococcaceae.